UACCCGCAGCACAAGUGGUGGUCAUUAUUAUUGGGCCUAAAGCGUCCGUAGCUGGCCUGUUAGAUGCCUGGGUAAAUCGAUGCGCUUAACGUAUCGAAUUCCGGGUAGACCGGCAGGCUCGAGACCGGGAGAGGCGUGAGCUACUCAAGGGGUAGGGGUAAAAUCCUGUAAUCCUUUGGGGAGGGCCAGUGGCGAAGGCGUCACGCUAGAACGGCUCUGACAGUGAGGGACGAAGCCCUGGGGCGCAAACCGG
RNAcentral lists this ribosomal RNA (253 nucleotides) under uncultured bacterium. RNAcentral describes it as "partial 16S ribosomal RNA". It matches the Rfam family "Archaeal small subunit ribosomal RNA", at positions 474 to 727 of the family's 1478-position model. The record is from RNAcentral.